This 4688-nucleotide long non-coding RNA is filed under the name Capsicum annuum. Its description in RNAcentral is "long non-coding RNA (CANN_LNC015495)". Lineage: Eukaryota; Viridiplantae; Streptophyta; Magnoliopsida; Solanales; Solanaceae. The record is from RNAcentral.
UGAAGGUUAAGUUGUAGUUGGAAUUAGAGUUGUAUUUAGCUACUACUGGAUGGACCGUGCCCUGCUUAGAACGGGCAUGUUUGCAAUAUUGUUGUACAAAAGCAGCCCCAUUUAGAUGUGUACAGUAAUUAAAAAGUACAAGGCCAAAAUAUCCGAAAAGAAAAAUUACAAUUUAUUUUCUGCAUUACAACCUUCGCGUCCUUGUGUUUCAGUCUUUUGUGUGACAGCUUCCAAGUCCUCGAGCUUCGACCUUUUAUCUUUACUAUAAAAUCACAGCAACAUCAAAGAAUUCAACAUCUUUCACAAAAUGUUCCUUGAUGAAUGACCUGAAAGUUGAAAAAAAAUUUGGAUAAAUAAAAUCACCAAAAAAUAUAUACUUAUUUUGAAACACCAACUAUAUCUUUUCUUAUCAACCUAAAAUUAGACAAACAAGAGUCAUGCUGCAAUGGAGAUACAAAUGUAAGAAAAUUUAAUGCCAUUUCCAAAUAAUAUCGAAAUAAGUUAACAGUUUAUAGGGAUUGUAAAAGUGAAAUAAGAAGGCAAUUAAAUUAUCCAAGUGGAAUUUGGGAAGGUAGAAUAUACACAGACCUUAUAUUAUAUAGUUGCUUCAGUGUAGUCAUAUGACAUAUUAGGUGAACACCUAAAAUUUGCGACUUGACAGAAUUGAUUCAUCUUAGCCAAGUUCCACCUUAUUUAUCUUUAUGAGUCUUCUAUUCCAUGAUAAAAAGGUAAGUGCCAUAAAACAGAUAGUCAAAAUACGUCGAAACUAUGACUUGCUUAAGAUAUUAACAAGUGUAUAAGAGUUAGGUCCCUUAAUUUGAACCGAAGAAAUUCACUAUAUCUGAUUGAUGAGGAUAGAUCUUGAACUAUUACACCAUUUCAUAUAGCUUGUUAACAAGAAACAAAAGUACUCGAACAGAGAAAUGCACUCAAAAUUCUUAGCACGAUCUUUGUUAAUGUUACUGGAAAGUGGAAACUAUUUCCGUAUGCUAAAUAAAGAGUUUUUACAUAACCUGGCAUAGUUUCUGGUAUGUAGAGUGAACAUUUGAUAAAUUCCAAAAGCCUUGAUAUAUCCAGAUGUGAAUUCAGUAAUCAUCCUUGUUCCUUCCAAACUAUUAACAUAUCUCCUCAUCUGCGUGUAUGUGCUCCCUUUAGAGGUUUUUCAACUUCUGCUUAUAGUACUCAGCCUUUUUAGAGCAUAAAUUCAGUAAAUCCUUCAAAGAAAAAGCAGAACAUAAUAAAGGAAAAAAUAAUGUAGCUCAUUCAAUUUUUUUGAUAACUGCAAUGUCCGGACCAGCUUUUACGCACCUCGACUAAUUUCAUGAGAUUCUUCAAAAAAAAAAAGCAGAAUAGAAUUAAGAAAAUAAUGGUGCAACUCGUUAUAAAUAGCUAAUAAAGAAAUAAAUUUUAAAAUAGACACAAAAAUUACAAUCUUUGAACAUUGAUAGAUCUAGAAUCGUAUACUCAGACAAUGUGUGCGCUGAGGAACGCCCUUAUCCUUUUAGCAGCAAUAUAUCAUGAGAUAAAUAUAACUACUGCUUUACCGUACCAAACCAGCAGUAGACUCUACACUUAUACUUAACAAAGAACAAUCAAAAAAGUCUGUCUUUGUCUAGUUGAAUCAUCAAAAUUUCAAUGAUUUAAAUAGAUAAAUACAUCAAACAAUAAUAUGUAGUCUUGCUCAGGUAAAUACACUCAUCCAUUAAUUUCAUUACGAUAUUGUCUUCCAACAAAGUGAACAUUUUGCAAAUACUGCCCUGAACUAACCAAAUAGGCUUUUUCCCACCAAAAUCAAAUUCAUAUACUGGGAACAAAAUGCAACUGUUAGAUAUGAACAUACCAAUAGCAUUGGUGAUUUUCACUGCAUAGAUAUCAACGAUAUGAACACACCGACACUGCAUUAAUUGUUUCACUGUAUUGAAUAUUAAAGACACCUAACCAAAUCAUACCAUCUAUCAUCCUGAGGUACCACACGCCAAGCAAUGAACACUAUUUAAGAAUUUUCAAAGAUAUUUCCCGAAAUGGGAACAAUUGCAACCUUUUCCACCAGGUUCACGACAGUUGAUAGUUGUCCAUGUUUAUCUUGAGCUAUACACUGAUCAAAGUUAUGGUGUAACUCUUCCACACGACAUCAAUUUUCGCCGUCAGUCGAGUCUAGAUUUGAUUUUAUGGCAAGUACUUAUAGCAUUGUGUAUUUAAGUCGAGCUAUUUGGGACACAUUUAAUACAAGUUACGCUAGUUGAACACUCACCUUAAACACAGAGUUUUCCUUGGGACCAAAUUGCAUUGGACAUUCAACAGUUACAAUAAGAAAAUAAAGAAGAGCUUUACUGAGCAUCUGAAAGAAGACGAAAUGCAAGAGAUAACCUAUAAGGACUAUCAAAAUAUAUGACUUGUUUUGAUAUCAUGAGGACCAUUAAAUAUUUGUUAUGACUUUUACGAGUACCAGUGACAAAACAAGGGAAAAAUUAAAAAGAGUUAUCUUCACUAAUAGAAUAACUACUACAAUAUUCAGAAUUUCAGGAUUCUAAAGACAUACUCGGAAGCAUCUUCACAAAAAGAUUAUCUUCAGCCUAGAGAGAGACCAAGAAUCAUUUUAGCUUCAAACCAUGUGUACAAGUAAUCACUGAAUCAUUUUAGCUUCAAACCAUAUGUACAAGUAAUCACUGAAAAAUAAAAGAAUGAUGCAGGAACUUCAAGUUAUAUCGAAUGAUAUUCUAUGCUUAUUAAAUUUGUAAGAUUUGAGUCAUAUCUUAUACAACAAAGUUUUGAUCUUAAAUUGAAGGACUUGUGCAUCCGCAUCUUGUUAGGCACUCACUUUUGAAAGAUAAACUUAUUGUCGGAGGAUUUGUGAGCCAUUUUUACAAUUCUAUACUCCUAAACUCAUUAACCUGAUAGUAGUAAGUUAUACAUCACAAAAUAAAGUAACAUGCAUGAACUGUGAUCACUUGAAACCUAAAGAUCAGGCCUUAAAAAGUACACAAAUUAAAUUACUUCAGAUUUUACAGAACAUUCAAUAUUCUCGCUCCACCAUCUUUCCUUUCACAGACUAACACCUUUUAUUGAUCGAUGUAUGAAAUGGUAGAUCAAUAUUCCUCUAUGGGUAUUUCGAAGCAAUCUCUUUGUUGUCCGAACAGUGACCAGAUCAUACUAUAUAGCAAAAGAAAAUUAUGAAUUAAUUCAAAUUGUAAAACAAAGAAUGGAUAUCCAAAAAAGCAGAUUGCAAACUAUUCCAACAAAAACCUUAUAUAGCAAAAGAACCAUAUGUUAUGUGAGCAGCUUUUCUUCAAUUGCUUCUCCAAAUCGUAACACCCGUACCUAAUGGGUUGCAGCUAUAGAUACCAAAAGAUUGCCAAAAACUCAAGAGAAAUAAAAUUAAGGAGAAAACAACAACCCCCCAGAACAAAUCCUAUGAGGACCUAUCAUAUUUUAUUUUUUCGAGAAGUAACUUAUCAUUUGUUAUCUGAAGUGAUCCUGCUCACAAGUACAUUCAUGUGGUCUUGCUAUCAUGUGUUCUUGGUAGGCAUAUAUCCAUCUAUCAAGAAAAGCCCCUUAAUCCUAUGCAACAACUCGUCGUUAUAAACUAUGUUGCACGAACUCUCUGCUUUUCAUGCCGCAUUUGUGUCAAACUCUUCAAAAAUACACUACUUUUACAGUAUCCGAUACACACCCAUUGAAAUUUUUGUAGAGUUCGGACAACAUAGGUUAUAGCAACAUAUCUACAAAUUUAUUAUGUUUUUAUCCAAAUAUCAGUUUUAAUAGCCUAGUAGCAAAACCAAACCACUUAUGAAAUCUAUUUUUGCUUUUACCAUCUAGUAACCUUAUGAAGCACCUUAUGAAACUCCAUCAACUUGGUGCCACAAAGUAAAAGACAUGUAAUUCCUGUACACUUGAUCAUACUUGAACUCUCAAAACAAAUUAGUAAACAUUAUUUAAAAUUUUCUUGAAGGAAGCUAUAAGAAGGUGUGCAACUUCCGUUUCUUUCUCUACACAAACACUCACAAACCUACCAUCCAUACCUUAUGGCUAGCUGCUACGACACAGAGCAUUGCAUAAAUAAAGUAAACUUUUCUCUUCUACUCUUGUUUUAGACAAAUAGAAAGAAGAAACUUAAAAUCUCUUAGUACAAGAAGUUGAAAAUCUCAUACUUUUCUACCUUAAAUCACUUUAGAGAACAUUGGCUUCAUGAAUAAGCUAAUUAGGAUUGAUAGAGUUGAUACUGAUGAAUCUUAGAGUUAAACUACCUACUGAAACAACCUAGUUUAAAACAAAAUGUGGCUAAAAUAUCAAUUCAGAAAUUAAGAAUGACAGUGAAAGCCUGAACAAAAUUGAAUGUAAUGAAUACUCUUGUCCAAUCUUUUUCAUUAUUCCAUCUCCUCCUAACUUAAUGAAAGUUUAAACCAACCAAGAAAGGGGAAAAGAACACUUCUACCCAAUUCCUGAAAGAGACUUUUGUAGAGAUCAUGAGAUUUAAUUUAGCAGUUGUAAUAAGAACGUAAACAAUUGUUCACAUGAGACAUAUGUACAAUAAAUGCUCUUUAAUUCAGCUUCAGAUUAGUUUUUAUUUUCUAUAAGCUACAACGUGAAAAGAAUUUCGAAUUUCUUUUAACCUCCAACUCAGGAAGAAUUUUAAUAAAAAAAAACACUUGCCUUUUGGAUCACCAACAUGUUGUGGGCAUCAAAACUUG